GCUGGGCAUGGUGGUGCAUGUCUGUAAUCCCAGUACCUUAGGAGGCUGAGGCAGGAAGAUUACAAGUUCAAAGCCAGCCUCAGCAAAAACGAGGUGCUAAACAACUCAGUGAGACCCUGUCUCUA
Molecule: small RNA, 125 nt
Filed under: Marmota monax (woodchuck)
Lineage: Eukaryota; Metazoa; Chordata; Mammalia; Rodentia; Sciuridae
Source: RNAcentral